AAAUAGAUACCCAGGUAGUCCACGCCGUAAACGAUGAAUACUAGGUGUAGGGGUUGUCAUGACCUCUGUGCCGCCGCUAACGCAUUAAGUAUUCCGCCUGGGGAGUACGGUCGCAAGAUUAAAACUCAAAGGAAUUGACGGGGGCCCGCACAAGCAGCGGAGCAUGUGGUUUAAUUCGAAGCAACGCGAAGAACCUUACCUAGACUUGACAUCUCCUGCAUUACCCUUAAUCGGGGGAAGUUCCUUCGGGAACAGGAAGACAGGUGGUGCAUGGUUGUCGUCAGCUCGUGUCGUGAGAUGUUGGGUUAAGUCCCGCAACGAGCGCAACCCUUAUUGUUAGUUGCUACCAUUUAGUUGAGCACUCUAGCGAGACUGCCCGGGUUAACCGGGAGGAAGGUGGGGAUGACGUCAAAUCAUCAUGCCCCUUAUGUCUAGGGCUACACACGUGCUACAAUGGCAAGUACAAAGAGAAGCAAGACCGCGAGGUGGAGCAAAACGUCAAAAACUUAGUCUCAGUUCGGAUUGUAGGCUGAAACUCGCCUACA
Molecule: ribosomal RNA, 545 nt
Filed under: uncultured bacterium
Lineage: Bacteria
Description: bacterial SSU rRNA
Rfam family: Bacterial small subunit ribosomal RNA
Source: RNAcentral